GCGGGGCGCAGCAUUGCGCCCAGGCCGUCCUGGGGCACCUCUACACCGCACAGCCUUUCUGGGCAACCUGUUCCAGUGCGCAGCCACUGCACAGGAAAGAAAUUCUUCCUCAUAUUCAGGUGGAACUUCCUAUGCACCACCGAGCAGAGCCUGGUCCAUCCUCUUGGCACCCCCUCUUUAGAUAUCUAUACACAUAAUGAGGUCCCCUCUCAGUCGUCUCUUCCCGAGGCUGAACAGGCCCAGCUUCCUCAGCCUUUCCUCGUAAGAGAGAUGCUCCAGUCCCUUGACCAGCUUUGUCACCCUCCGCAGGACCCGCUCCAGGAGCUGCAUAGCCCCGGCCCCGCAUUCUCCACCAGCUCCCGCCUCUGGUGCUGAGGAGCCCCGAGCCGCACAGAGCCCUCCAGGCGCGGCCUCCCCUCCCCGCCUCCCGGUCGUUCCCCGCCCCUCGGCUCCUCCCAUCCCUGUCUGUGUGUCCCGGGAGAAUGCGAGUGUUCCCCGCAGCGCUUAUCGCCCUUAUCGCCGGCGCAGCCCCACGGAAGGGCCGCUCCCUGCCCCAGAGGCUCCCGCCCGCCUGGCGGGGAAACCUUGGUGAAACACACUUUUGGCACCAGCCAGUAGGUAUUGCCUACUUGGAUUUCAUUUAAAAAGAAAUGCAAGCUUUAUCCCUUCUGAUGUCAGGGGACACGAGUGUAGCUCCGAUCCCCAAAUCUUUAGCUCUGAUAGCUCGGAAAAUAUAGAGGACGCACUUUUACUUCGCUCUCCACCCCACCCCCCCCUCCCCCUCCCCAAGCUGUUAAAGAGACGUGAAGGAUAAGGUUAGGACUUAAAAAGUAUCUGUGGGACUGCUGUUGACUUUUGCGUGCCUGGACUUAACAAUACGGACCAGCUGUUGUACAAAGUAAAUGUCUCCUUUCGUUCCAUCCCAGACACAGGUGCUGCAAUUUCAAUUUUGCAUGCUCUGACAAUGAACGACAAAAUUUUUCAUUUCUCACGCUCUACUGCAGAGGCAUCCUCAUAAGAAUCAGCUUUUCAGCUUGAUGUUUCCAAAACAUUUAAAAUGAGAGGCCCAAAGAUGAAGAUCAUUAAAUUUGCAUGGAAAAUUGAAUAUCAAACAAAUAAUAGCCGGAUGUUUCAGUAUUGUGAAGGUCUUGGAAGACUGAUCAUGCAAAGGACAAUCUUCGCAAAAGAACCCUCAAGUGAUAAGCAGUCUCUGGAAUGAUAAGAACCAUCCCUUUGCAUUAUGGAGAGAUGAGUAUUUGAUCAGCAUGUUUCCAAGGUCUCAAAAAAUAAUUUGCUUUGUGGUAUGGAAUGUACAGUAGACACAUGAGAAAAGGAUAACUAAAAGCAUAAUUACUGUUUCUUAAGCUAACUUUCAGAAGCAAACCUG
Long non-coding RNA from Vidua macroura (Pin-tailed whydah), 1387 nucleotides. RefSeq lists it as uncharacterized. The transcript is spliced from 4 exons. The record is from RefSeq and is a predicted model, not a curated record. Lineage: Eukaryota; Metazoa; Chordata; Aves; Passeriformes; Viduidae.